This 163-nucleotide ribosomal RNA is filed under the name uncultured bacterium. Its description in RNAcentral is "partial 16S ribosomal RNA". It matches the Rfam family "Bacterial small subunit ribosomal RNA", at positions 1339 to 1500 of the family's 1533-position model. The record is from RNAcentral.
UAAUCGCGCAUCAGCCAUGGCGCGGUGAAUACGUUCCCGGGCCUUGUACACACCGCCCGUCACACCAUGGGAGUUGGGAGCACCCGAAGCCGGUGAGUUGACCGCAAGGGGACAGCCGUCGAAGGUGAGACUGAUGACUGGGGUGAAGUCGUAACAAGGUAUC